This 478-nucleotide ribosomal RNA is filed under the name uncultured bacterium. Its description in RNAcentral is "partial 16S ribosomal RNA". It matches the Rfam family "Bacterial small subunit ribosomal RNA", at positions 28 to 507 of the family's 1533-position model. The record is from RNAcentral.
GAUGAACGCUGGCGGCGUGCUUAACACAUGCAAGUCGAACGAGAAGUGAAGACGGAAACCUUCGGGCGGAAGGCUUUAUUUCGAGUGGCGGACGGGUGAGUAACGCGUGGGUAUCCUGCCUCAUACAGGGGGAUAACAGUUGGAAACGACUGUUAAUACCGCAUAAGACCACAGCACCGCAUGGUGCGGGGGUAAAAACUCCGGUGGUAUGAGAUGGACCCGCGUUCGAUUAGCCAGUUGGCGGGGUAACGGCCCACCAAAGCGACGAUCGAUAGCCGAUCUGAGAGGAUGACCGGCCACAUUGGGACUGAGACACGGCCCAAACUCCUACGGGAGGCAGCAGUGGGGAAUAUUGCACAAUGGGGGAAACCCUGAUGCAGCGACGCCGCGUGAGUGAAGAAGUAUUUCGGUAUGUAAAGCUCUAUCAGCAGGGAAGAAAAUGACGGUACCUGAGUAAGAAGCCCCGGCUAACUACGUG